This 482-nucleotide ribosomal RNA is filed under the name uncultured bacterium. RNAcentral's name for it is "partial 16S ribosomal RNA". It matches the Rfam family "Bacterial small subunit ribosomal RNA", at positions 30 to 507 of the family's 1533-position model. The record is from RNAcentral.
AUUGAACGCUGGCGGCAUGCCUUACACAUGCAAGUCGAACGGUCACGGGCCUUCGGGUGCCGCCGAGUGGCGAACGGGUGCGUAAUACAUCGGAACGUGCCCGAUCGUGGGGGAUAACGAGGCGAAAGCUUUGCUAAUACCGCAUACGAUCUACGGAUGAAAGCCGGGGACCGCAAGGCCUUGCGCGGACGGAGCGGCCGCUGGCAGAUUAGGUAGUUGGUGGGAUAAAAGCUUACCAAGCCGACGAUCUGUAGCUGGUCUGAGAGGAUGAUCAGCCACACUGGGACUGAGACACGGCCCAGACUCCUACGGGAGGCAGCAGUGGGGAAUUUUGGACAAUGGGCGCAAGCCUGAUCCAGCCAUGCCGCGUGCAGGAUGAAGGCCUUCGGGUUGUAAACUGCUGUUGUACGGAAAGAAAAGCCUUCUUUUAAUACAGGAGGGUCAUGACGGUACCGGAAGAAUAAGCACCGGCUAACUACGUG